Molecule: ribosomal RNA, 504 nt
Filed under: Pseudomonas sp.
Lineage: Bacteria; Pseudomonadati; Pseudomonadota; Gammaproteobacteria; Pseudomonadales; Pseudomonadaceae
Description: bacterial SSU rRNA
Rfam family: Bacterial small subunit ribosomal RNA
Source: RNAcentral
UUGCUUCUCUUGAGAGCGGCGGACGGGUGAGUAAUGCCUAGGAAUCUGCCUGGUAGUGGGGGAUAACGUUCGGAAACGGACGCUAAUACCGCAUACGUCCUACGGGAGAAAGCAGGGGACCUUCGGGCCUUGCGCUAUCAGAUGAGCCUAGGUCGGAUUAGCUAGUUGGUGGGGUAAUGGCUCACCAAGGCGACGAUCCGUAACUGGUCUGAGAGGAUGAUCAGUCACACUGGAACUGAGACACGGUCCAGACUCCUACGGGAGGCAGCAGUGGGGAAUAUUGGACAAUGGGCGAAAGCCUGAUCCAGCCAUGCCGCGUGUGUGAAGAAGGUCUUCGGAUUGUAAAGCACUUUAAGUUGGGAGGAAGGGUUGUAGAUUAAUACUCUGCAAUUUUGACGUUACCGACAGAAUAAGCACCGGCUAACUCUGUGCCAGCAGCCGCGGUAAUACAGAGGGUGCAAGCGUUAAUCGGAAUUACUGGGCGUAAAGCGCGCGUAGGUGGUU